RNAcentral lists this ribosomal RNA (253 nucleotides) under uncultured bacterium. Its description in RNAcentral is "partial 16S ribosomal RNA". It matches the Rfam family "Bacterial small subunit ribosomal RNA", at positions 524 to 776 of the family's 1533-position model. The record is from RNAcentral.
UACGUAGGAGGCAAGCGUUGUCCGGACUGACUGGGCGUAAAGCGCGCGCAGGCGGUGCGGUGCGUCGGUGCUGAAAUCGGGCCGCUUAACGGCCCGCGGCGUGCCGAUACGCCCGUACUGGAGGGUGGGCGAGGGUGGUGGAAUUGCCGGUGUAGUGGUGAAAUGCGUAGAGAUCGGCAGGAACACCCGUGGCGAAAGCGGCCACCUAGCCCAUACCUGACGCUGAUGCGCGACAGCGUGGGGAGCGAACUGG